Molecule: long non-coding RNA, 427 nt
Filed under: Lathyrus oleraceus (garden pea)
Lineage: Eukaryota; Viridiplantae; Streptophyta; Magnoliopsida; Fabales; Fabaceae
Description: Pisum sativum (pea) long non-coding RNA (PSAT_LNC016948)
Source: RNAcentral
UUCAUUAAUGGACUAUUUGAUCCAAAAAUCCAAUUAACCACUUUUACCACAUCUCCACAUUUAUCCAAUAAAAUCCAUAUUAAUCCAACUCACCAUUAUCCAAACCAUUUUGCAUUUAACCAAAAUUCAUUACCACAAAAUCCAUUGUCCCUAAAUAAUACUAUCCUAAUACAGCAAAAGGCAAAGAGUGGAAAAAGCUGCUAAACAGAAACUGCAAUGCUAUAAUGUUGUGGAAAAGGAAAUAAGCCAAAACUCUUCCAAGAAGCUGCUGCAGGAAGAACAAAGCUUCACAAUCCAAAGCCGUUAGCUCCAAACGCAACAGUCCAAGAGCCACCACAUACAAGCCAAUUGAAACGCAGCCAUGAAGCUUCAAGCACGAGCUGCUAUCCAAACAAGAACAAACUGCACAAGCCAUUUCGAUAACAGA